This 52-nucleotide transfer RNA is filed under the name Phanuelus gladstone. Its description in RNAcentral is "tRNA-Trp". The record is from RNAcentral. Lineage: Eukaryota; Metazoa; Arthropoda; Arachnida; Araneae; Salticidae.
AGUUUAUUAAGAUAAAAAUUCUGUUAACCUUCAAAGUUAAAAGUGCAAUCUA